AGUGGCUAGUCUAACUCAAGACAGUUGACUUCGGCUCAACUAAUUAUGGUUUAAUCCCAUAGCCACUCU
RNAcentral lists this transfer RNA (69 nucleotides) under Kaloula conjuncta conjuncta. RNAcentral's name for it is "tRNA-Arg". It matches the Rfam family "tRNA". From Rfam's summary of the family: Transfer RNA (tRNA) molecules are approximately 80 nucleotides in length. Their secondary structure includes four short double-helical elements and three loops (D, anti-codon, and T loops). The record is from RNAcentral. Lineage: Eukaryota; Metazoa; Chordata; Amphibia; Anura; Microhylidae.